Molecule: ribosomal RNA, 1235 nt
Filed under: metagenome
Description: bacterial LSU rRNA
Rfam family: Bacterial large subunit ribosomal RNA
Source: RNAcentral
UGAUGACGAGACGCUAAGGCGUUGAAGCAGUGUAUGUCAGACUUCCAAGAAAAGCUCGCAAUGUCAUAAGUAAAAAAUGCCUGUACCAUAACCGACACAGGUGGGUAGGUAGAGUAUACUAAGGGGCGCGAGAUAACUCUCUCUAAGGAACUCGGCAAAAUGACUCCGUAACUUCGGGAGAAGGAGUGCCUUAUUUAUAAGGUUGCAAUAACAAGAUCCAAGCAACUGUUUAUCAAAAACACAGGUCUCCGCUAAGUCGUAAGACGAUGUAUGGGGGCUGACGCCUGCCCAGUGCCAGAAGGUUAAAGAAGUUGGUUAGUGUAUGCGAAGCUGAUGACUGAAGCCCUGGUGAACGGCGGCCGUAACAAUAACGGUCCUAAGGUAGCGAAAUUCCUUGUCGGGUAAGUUCCGACCCGCACGAAAGGCGUAAUGAUUUGGAUACUGUCUCGGAGAGAGGCUCGGUGAAAUAGACUUGUCUGUGAAGAUGCGGACUACCUGCACCGGGACAGAAAGACCCUAUGAAGCUUUACUGUAACUUGACAUUGGAAUUGGACUUUGCUUGCGCAGUAUAGGUGGGAAGCGUUGAAGAUAUUCUUGCGGGAGUAUUGGAGCUAUCAGUGAGAUACCACUCUUGUAAUGUUAGAUUUCUAACUUUGAACCAUAAUCUGGUCAAAGAACAGUUUCAGGUGGGCAGUUUGACUGGGGCGGUCGCCUCCCAAAUGGUAACGGAGGCGUACAAAGGUUUCCUCUGAACGGAUAGAAAUCGUAUCUAGAGUGUAAAGGCAUAAGGAAGCUUGACUGUGAGACCUACAAGUCGAGCAGGGACGAAAGUCGGUCUUAGUGAUCUGACGGUACUGAGUGGAAAGGCCGUCACUCAACGGAUAAAAGUUACUCUAAGGAUAACAGGCUGAUCUCCCCCAAGAGUUCACAUCGACGGGGAGGUUUGGCACCUCGAUGUCGGCUCAUCGCAUCCUGGGGCGGUAGUACGUCCCAAGGGUUGGGCUGUUCGCCCAUGAAAGCGGUACGCGAGCUGGGUUCAGAACGUCGUGAGACAGUUCGGUCCAUAUCCGGUGUAGGCGCUAGAAUAUUGAGAGGAGCCUUCUUUAGUACGAGAGGACCGAGAAGGACACACCGCUGGUGUACCAGUUAUCGUGCCAACGGUAAACGCUGGGUAGCUAUGUGUGGAGUGGAUAACCGCUGAAAGCAUCUAAGUGGGAAGCCCACCUCAAGAUGAG